GGCGUUUCUCGGGUGAUGCACCCCAAUAUUGGGCUCCCUCCUCUCUGGUUCCGGGUGCGUCACCCGAGAACUGAA
This is a non-coding RNA of Myotis brandtii (Brandt's bat), 75 nucleotides long. The record is from Rfam. Lineage: Eukaryota; Metazoa; Chordata; Mammalia; Chiroptera; Vespertilionidae.